RNAcentral lists this unclassified non-coding RNA (328 nucleotides) under fungal sp. RNAcentral describes it as "partial internal transcribed spacer region". The stretch from base 1 to 46 matches the Rfam family "Eukaryotic small subunit ribosomal RNA", at positions 1786 to 1831 of the family's 1831-position model. Lineage: Eukaryota; Fungi. The record is from RNAcentral.
AAGUCGUAACAAGGUUUCCGUAGGUAAACCUGCGGAAGGAUCAUUAACAAAAUUUUCCAAACCUUAAAAUGGCAUUCGCUUUUGAAUGUCAUUUUUAACCCCACUUUUUUGUUGAACUUGUGUUUUUCUAUCUUAAAAUGAAAGGGUGAAAGGAGGCUGGUUUGACCAGCUCUUUCCAUUUUUUUCAUUUUAUUUUCUCUUUUUCUUUUUUCAAACCCAAAAUGAAUCUUUUUUAGACUGAACAAAAAACCGUUUUUUCGAAAGAAAAAGUUGGUUUUAAAAAAGUUAAUAGAAAAAACAACUCUUAACAACGGAUAUCUUGGCUCUC